UUCACUGUAGGAUAAGGUAGUAGAUUGUAUAGUUCUAGGGUCACACCCAUCAUUGGAAGAUCACUCUAUACAAUCUACUGUCUUUCUCAGAUGGU
This 95-nucleotide microRNA precursor is filed under the name Tupaia belangeri (northern tree shrew). RNAcentral's name for it is "miRNA (ENSTBEG00000017838.1)". The stretch from base 7 to 90 matches the Rfam family "let-7 microRNA precursor family". Rfam says of the family: This family represents the microRNAs (miRNA) let-7 and mir-98. let-7 was identified from a study of developmental timing in C. elegans, and was later shown to be part of a much larger class of non-coding RNAs termed miRNAs. The extents of the hairpin precursors are not generally known and are estimated based on hairpin prediction. The products are thought to have regulatory roles through complementarity to mRNA. Lineage: Eukaryota; Metazoa; Chordata; Mammalia; Scandentia; Tupaiidae. The record is from RNAcentral.